Molecule: ribosomal RNA, 465 nt
Filed under: Vreelandella stevensii
Lineage: Bacteria; Pseudomonadati; Pseudomonadota; Gammaproteobacteria; Oceanospirillales; Halomonadaceae
Description: partial 16S ribosomal RNA
Rfam family: Bacterial small subunit ribosomal RNA
Source: RNAcentral
CCUACGGGCGGCUGCCGUGGGGAAUAUUGGACAAUGGGGGGAACCCUGAUCCAGCCAUGCCGCGUGUGUGAAGAAGGCCCUCGGGUUGUAAAGCACUUUCAGUGAGGAAGAACGCCUGGUGGUUAAUACCCAUCAGGAAAGACAUCACUCACAGAAGAAGCACCGGCUAACUCCGUGCCAGCAGCCGCGGUAAUACGGAGGGUGCGAGCGUUAAUCGGAAUUACUGGGCGUAAAGCGCGCGUAGGUGGCUUGAUAAGCCGGUUGUGAAAGCCCCGGGCUCAACCUGGGAACGGCAUCCGGAACUGUCAAGCUAGAGUGCAGGAGAGGAAGGUAGAAUUCCCGGUGUAGCGGUGAAAUGCGUAGAGAUCGGGAGGAAUACCAGUGGCGAAGGCGGCCUUCUGGACUGACACUGACACUGAGGUGCGAAAGCGUGGGUAGCAAACAGGAUUAGAUACCCGAGUAGUC